CCUACGGGGCGCAGCAGUGGGGAAUAUUGCGCAAUGGGGGAAACCCUGACGCAGCAACGCCGCGUGCGGGAUGAAGGCUUUCGGGUUGUAAACCGCUUUCAGCAGGGAUGACUUCGACAGUACCUGCAGAAGAAGCCCCGGCUAACUACGUGCCAGCAGCCGCGGUAAUACGUAGGGGGCGAGCGUUAUCCGGAUUCAUUGGGCGUAAAGCGCGCGCAGGCGGACUCAUAAGCGGAGCCUUUAAUCUUGGGGCUUAACCUCAAGUCGGGCCCCGAACUGUGAGUCUCGAGUGUGGUAGGGGAAGG
Molecule: ribosomal RNA, 305 nt
Filed under: uncultured bacterium
Lineage: Bacteria
Description: bacterial SSU rRNA
Rfam family: Bacterial small subunit ribosomal RNA
Source: RNAcentral